This 253-nucleotide ribosomal RNA is filed under the name uncultured bacterium. RNAcentral describes it as "partial 16S ribosomal RNA". It matches the Rfam family "Bacterial small subunit ribosomal RNA", at positions 524 to 776 of the family's 1533-position model. The record is from RNAcentral.
UACGGAGGAUGCAAGCGUUAUCCGGAUUCAUUGGGUUUAAAGGGUGCGUAGGCGGAGUACUAAGUCAGCGAUGAAAUCCUGCAGCUUAACUGUAGAACUGUCAUUGAUACUGGUAUUCUUGAAUGCAGUUGAGGUAGGCGGAAUGUGUAAUGUAGCGGUGAAAUGCUUAGAUAUUACACAGAACACCGAUUGCGAAGGCAGCUUACUAAACUGUGAUUGACGCUGAGGCACGAAAGCGUGGGGAGCAAACAGG